GCGGGGGUGCCCGAGCCAGGCCAAAGGGGGCGGACUCAAGUAGCCCAGGGGAGAUCCGCUGGUGUAGGCCUGCGUGGGUUCAAAUCCCACCCCCCGCA
RNAcentral lists this transfer RNA (98 nucleotides) under Thermogladius calderae 1633. RNAcentral describes it as "Thermogladius cellulolyticus 1633 tRNA". It matches the Rfam family "tRNA". From Rfam's summary of the family: Transfer RNA (tRNA) molecules are approximately 80 nucleotides in length. Their secondary structure includes four short double-helical elements and three loops (D, anti-codon, and T loops). The record is from Rfam by way of RNAcentral. Lineage: Archaea; Thermoproteati; Thermoproteota; Thermoprotei; Desulfurococcales; Desulfurococcaceae.